This 229-nucleotide unclassified non-coding RNA is filed under the name uncultured fungus. RNAcentral describes it as "sequence contains ITS1, 5.8S rRNA gene". The stretch from base 181 to 229 matches the Rfam family "5.8S ribosomal RNA", at positions 1 to 49 of the family's 154-position model. Lineage: Eukaryota; Fungi. The record is from RNAcentral.
UCUCCGUAGGUGAACCUGCGGAGGGAUCAUUACUGAGUGAGGGUCUCCGGGCCCGACCUCCAACCCUUUGUGAACCAAACUUGUUGCUUCGGGGGCGACCCUGCCGCUUCGGCGGUGCGGCGCCCGGAGCCCAUCAAACCCUGCGUAACUAAGUCGUCGGAGUUUAAACAAAUGCAACAAAACUUUCAACAACGGAUCUCUUGGUUCUGGCAUCGAUGAAGAACGCAGC